This 490-nucleotide ribosomal RNA is filed under the name uncultured bacterium. RNAcentral's name for it is "partial 16S ribosomal RNA". It matches the Rfam family "Bacterial small subunit ribosomal RNA", at positions 29 to 507 of the family's 1533-position model. The record is from RNAcentral.
AUUGAACGCUGGCGGCAGGCCUAACACAUGCAAGUCGAACGGUAACAGGAAGUUGCUUGUUUCUUCGCGGACGAGUGGCGGGCGGGUGAGUAAUGUCCGGGCAACUGCCUGAUGGAGGGGGAUAACUACUGGAAACGGUAGCUACUACCGCAUAACGUCGCAAGACCAAAGAGGGGGACCCUCGGGCCUCCUGCCAUCGGAGGUGCCCAGAUGGGAUUAGCUAGUAGGGGGGGUAACGGCUCACCCAGGCGAGGAUCCCUCCCUGGUCUGAGAGGAUGACCAGCCACACUGGAAAUGAGACACGGGCCAGACUCCUACGGGAGGCAGCAGUGGGGAAUAUUGGACAAUGGGCGGAAGCCUGAUGCAGCCAUGCCGCGUGUAUGAAGAAGGCCUUCGGGUUGUAAAGUACUUUUAGCGGGGAGGAAGGGAGUAAAGUUAAUACCUUGGCUCAUUGACGGUACCCGCAGAAGAAGCACCGGCUAACUCCGUG